UGGGGAAUAUUGGACAAUGGGCGCAAGCCUGAUCCAGCCAUGCCGCGUGAGUGAUGAAGGCCUUAGGGUUGUAAAGCUCUUUCACCGGUGAAGAUAAUGACGGUAGCCGGAGAAGAAGCCCCGGCUAACUCCGUGCCAGCAGCCGCGGUAAUACGGAGGGGGCUAGCGUUGUUCGGAAUUACUGGGCGUAAAGCGCGCGUAGGCGGACUGAUCAGUCAGGGGUGAAAUCCCGGGGCUCAACCCCGGAACUGCCUUUGAUACUGUCAGUCUUGAGUCCGGAAGAGGCGAGUGGAAUACCGAGUGUAGAGGUGAAAUUCGUAGAUAUUUUGGAGGAACACCAGUGGCGAAGGCGGCUCACUGGCUCGAUACUGACGCUGAGGUGCGAAAAGUGUGGGGAGCAAACAGGAUUAGAUACCCUGGUAGUCCACACCGUAAAACGAUGAAUGCCAGUCGUCGGGUAGCAUGCUAUUCGGUGACACACCUAACGGAUUAAGCAUUCCGCCUGGGAGUACGGUCGC
Molecule: ribosomal RNA, 518 nt
Filed under: uncultured bacterium
Lineage: Bacteria
Description: bacterial SSU rRNA
Rfam family: Bacterial small subunit ribosomal RNA
Source: RNAcentral